UCUUGGUCAUUUAGAGGAAGUAAAAGUCGUAACAAGGUAGGCCCUACCCCCGCCCGGGCCGCCGGUGGACCCGUUCGCUAACAGUCCCUUAGGUUUCCGUAGGUGAACCUGCGGAAGGAUCAUUA
RNAcentral lists this ribosomal RNA (125 nucleotides) under Megaloblastenia marginiflexa. Its description in RNAcentral is "partial 18S ribosomal RNA". The record is from RNAcentral. Lineage: Eukaryota; Fungi; Ascomycota; Lecanoromycetes; Teloschistales; Megalosporaceae.